Herpailurus yagouaroundi (jaguarundi) is the source of this 1667-nucleotide long non-coding RNA. RefSeq lists it as uncharacterized. The record is from RefSeq and is a predicted model, not a curated record. Lineage: Eukaryota; Metazoa; Chordata; Mammalia; Carnivora; Felidae. The transcript is spliced from 3 exons.
AAAAUAUUCCCCCAGAAUCAUUAGAAAUAAUAAAUUUAUUUGACAAUGGUGACUUUUGCAUUUUUAUAAUAAACAAAGCAAACAUGUGUUCUAAGAUGUUGUAGAUGGGAAAGGGGAGUUAGCUAAUCAGAAUUUCUCUUUCCUUGAGGAUGAAUUCAGGUUACUGUUCUAAAUGGUUUUUCUUUGCCUUCCCUGGUACUUGUGCACUUAUUGUCCCCUAUGAACACAAACACACACAUCAUUGAAAAUGUCAUGAAUUACUUGGGCAAUUAUUAAUAUUUGACAAAUUCAUUGGAAUGUGAAUUUCACAAUUUCCCCCAUCUCCUUACUGCCAAAAAAACACAGAAGGAGAAAGAGUAAAUAACAUUUCUCUAGCAACUAAACUCAGUGUACUGUCACUGCUUAAACCAACUUAUUUAGAGGCAUCAGAACUAGUUAUGAUUAAAGACCUAUCAAGACCACAUCAUUUGUAAGGAUUAAUGGUGAGCAAAUCUUUAGGUUAAAAAGCUCUAUUGUAACCUACGUCUAGUGUUCUAUCAUGUAUUGAUGGUUAUGAAGAAAAGUAGCAUCUAUUUUCUAAUAAGUUUAAAUGUGUCAAUCAAUAGAAGAAAAUUUAUCUUAUUCUCCAAAUGUCUGUCUUCUUUAUACUUUUCAAAUUUUAUUCACCCUAGAUCCACCCAUCCAUGUGAGAACAUACACUAAUUCUAAUACAGUCAAAAUUAAUCCAUGGAAAUGCAAGAGCCAAAUUCUUACCAUCAAAAUUCUACAUUUUUCUGUCUGGAUCUAAGAAAAGCCUGAACUUUGACUUUACUAGUGAGAUGAUCUUUAUACAUCAAAUUUAUAAAAUACUUAUUUAUUUAAAGUAUUAACACUUAAGAGGAUCUGUGUAAACAACUUGUUUCUGCUUGUUUGUAUAUGUAUAGAGUAUUCCUGCAAAAAAAAGAGACAACCAUGGGCGACCUAAGAGUCAUGUGGGGAUGAAGAACUAUCCCUGGAGCAGAAUUAUCACUUCUCAUAGUUGGUAAAUGCUGACAAAGAUGCCGACAAAAAAUGGUUUUGGGAAAAUAUCCAUGGAGUAAAUGAAAGCAUGAAACAACUUGUACGGUGGUGUCAGUUGCUGAGUCAACACAGCCAGCUUAAAAAUAAAAUAGAACAACAAAAUAAAAUGGAGCAGAAUGAAACAAAACAAAACCCAAACAAAAUAGGAGAUUUUAUCUCUACACAACUAAGGGUGGUCAUGAGAAUAAGAUCUAGCCAAAGUGACAUGAGCAGAAGUUAUGUAGGGCUGCAGAACUCCUUUACAAGGAAAAGAGGAAGCUUGACCAUACCCUUCUGCCUUUCCCAUCACGCUCCUUCCUGCUGCCUGGAAUAAUGACAUGAGGACAGAAAUUCUAGCAGCCACUUUACCCAUGCGGUGAGUCUGAGGAUGGAAGCCACACACUGACGAUGAUGGAGGAGAAAAAGGAAAAGGAAGGUUUUCUAGUGACUCCAUGGUUCCAAUGAUCACACAUGACUGCCUAAUUGUGGACUUCAUUUAUUCGAGGGGAUGGAUUUUGUUGCGUUUAAUCACUACUAUUUUUGGAUUUUCUGUUGUAUGCAGAUGAAUUUAGUACUGAUUAACAUAGAUGUAUACAGACUCAGUGCAUGUGGAAAAUAAAAUUUCUUGU